AACGUAGGGCGCGAGCGUUGGUCCGGAUUUAUUGGGCGUAAAGAGCUCGUAGGCGGUCUGUUGCGUCCGCUGUGAAAACUCGGGGCUUAACCCCCGAGCCGCAGUGGAUACGGGCAGACUAGAGGUAGGUAGGGGAGAAUGGAAUUCCCGGUGUAGCGGUGAAAUGCGCAGAUAUCGGGAGGAACACCGGUGGCGAAGGCGGUCU
Molecule: ribosomal RNA, 205 nt
Filed under: uncultured bacterium
Lineage: Bacteria
Description: partial 16S ribosomal RNA
Rfam family: Bacterial small subunit ribosomal RNA
Source: RNAcentral